CGCAGGCACCGGGCCUUUGUCUAAGCCGGUUGGUCUCUGAGGCGGCCGUGGGUCCAGGUCGGGCUCCUCUCUGGGAGUCUGCGCCAUGGAUGGGGCUUCAGCCUCCUGCCUAUUUGCCGUCCUGCUACUUCCUCCCCGGCGGGCGCCGCGGCUCCGUGCCCCUCCGCGAACUGUGGAGUCGGCGGAGGCCUGGAAUCAGCGUGGGCUCCAGGUCGCUGGCAGCCGGGUGGCAGAACUCUUCCGAGGCUCCUUGGGAAGAAGCUACACCCGAGGGAGCCGGAUGGGCCUCGAAACCCUGGCCCGCUCUGGUUCUGGACCAUUGCAAGGGGAGCUGUAAACUGAGCUUUUCUAACGUGGGUUUCUGCCGAGUACUUUUCCAGCUGCCCCCUUCCCCCCAGCACACAGGAGAGCCUCUGUGUAGCCAGCGCUUGACAGUCGUUAGGAGACGAAACCAGACAGAGGGUCAAGUUUACAGAUGACCGUGUCUGCAAGAGUCACCUUCUGGACUGCUGCCCCCAUGACAUCCUGGCUGGGACGCGCAUGGAUUUAGGAGAAUGUACCAAAAUCCACGACUUGGCCCUCCGAGCAGAUUAUGAGAUUGCAAGUAAAGAAAGAGACCUGUUUUUUGAAUUGGAUGUGAAAGGGGGGACCCUACCCUCAGAACAUGA
RNAcentral lists this small RNA (668 nucleotides) under Pongo abelii (Sumatran orangutan). RNAcentral describes it as "processed transcript". The record is from RNAcentral. Lineage: Eukaryota; Metazoa; Chordata; Mammalia; Primates; Hominidae.